CUUGGAGACUCCUACGGGAGGCAGCAGUAGGGAAUCUUCGGCAAUGGACGGAAGUCUGACCGAGCAACGCCGCGUGAGUGAAGAAGGUUUUCGGAUCGUAAAGCUCUGUUGUAAGAGAAGAACGAGUGUGAGAGUGGAAAGUUCACACUGUGACGGUAUCUUACCAGAAAGGGACGGCUAACUACGUGCCAGCAGCCGCGGUAAUACGUGGGUCCCGAGCGUUGUCCGGAUUUAUUGGGCGUAAAGCGAGCGCAGGCGGUUAGAUAAGUCUGAAGUUAAAGGCUGUGGCUUAACCAUAGUACGCUUUGGAAAUGGUUUAACUUGAGUGCAGAAGGGGGGAGUGGAAUUCAAUGUGUAGCGGUGAAAUGCGUAGAUAUAUGGAGGAACACCGGUGGCGAAAGCGGCUCUCUGGUCUGUAACUGACGCUGAGGCUCGAAAGCGUGGGGAGCAAACAGGAUUAGAAACCCGAGUAGUCCU
RNAcentral lists this ribosomal RNA (477 nucleotides) under uncultured bacterium. RNAcentral describes it as "bacterial SSU rRNA". It matches the Rfam family "Bacterial small subunit ribosomal RNA", at positions 328 to 797 of the family's 1533-position model. The record is from RNAcentral.